AGGGUUUGAUCCUGGCUCAGGAUGAACGCUAGCUACAGGCUUAACACAUGCAAGUCGCGGGGUAACAUUUGACAGAGCUUGCUCAGUCAAGAUGACGACCGGCGCACGGGUGAGUAACGCGUAUCCAACCUGGCCCAUACCACGGGACAGCCCGUCGAAAGGCGGAUUAAUACCGUAUGCAGUCAUAGACAAGCAUUUGAAUAUGACGAAAGGAUUCGGCGGUAUGGGAUGGGGAUGCGUCUGAUUAGCUUGUUGGCGGGGUAACGGCCCACCAAGGCGACGAUCAGUAGGGGUUCUGAGAGGAAGGUCCCCCACAUUGGAACUGAGACACGGUCCAA
This 338-nucleotide ribosomal RNA is filed under the name uncultured bacterium. Its description in RNAcentral is "bacterial SSU rRNA". It matches the Rfam family "Bacterial small subunit ribosomal RNA", at positions 8 to 334 of the family's 1533-position model. The record is from RNAcentral.